Molecule: ribosomal RNA, 253 nt
Filed under: uncultured bacterium
Lineage: Bacteria
Description: partial 16S ribosomal RNA
Rfam family: Bacterial small subunit ribosomal RNA
Source: RNAcentral
UACGUAGGGUGCAAGCGUUGUCCGGAAUUAUUGGGCGUAAAGAGCUCGUAGGCGGUUUGUCGCGUCUGCUGUGAAAACUGGAGGCUCAACCUCCAGCCUGCAGUGGGUACGGGCAGACUAGAGUGCGGUAGGGGAGAGUGGAAUUCCUGGUGUAGCGGUGGAAUGCGCAGAUAUCAGGAGGAACACCGAUGGCGAAGGCAGAUCUCUGGGCCGUAACUGACGCUGAGGAGCGAAAGCGUGGGGAGCGAACAGG